UGGAAUUUUCUAUUGAGUUUUUCAACCAUUAAAAAUAAAAAAACCAGGCUUAGCUCACAGGCCAUACAAAAACAGGCGGUGGCCUGGAUUUGGCCCACGGGCCGUGAUUUGAGACCCCUGGUCUAUGGCAACAAAAAGUAAGCAAACUAGAGCUGCAUCGUUGACUAAAACUAACCAGCUGCCGUCGUGAUUUUCUGACUCACGGCGACCCCAUGUGUGUCAGAGUAAAACUGUGCUCCACAGAGUUUUCCAUGGCUGAAUUUUCAGAAAUAUUGACCGCCAGGCCUUUCGUCCAAGGUGCCUCAGGGUGACCUCCAAUCGUCAGCUGAGGGCAUUAACCGUUUGCACCUCCCAGGGACUCCCACCAUCAACUAGAUACAUCUUAAAAGAGCUAAUGUUUCAUGAAAGAAGCAGGUCGCAAGAGAAUACAUACAGUGUCAUUCAGACUAUAUAAAGUUCAAAACCCGGCAAAACUAGUCUGUAUAGUUUAGGGAUAAGUAAUAAAUGAUGAAACUAAAAAGACAUGCCAGGAAGCUAGUGUCCUAAAAGUCAGAAGGGUGGUCCCUCUGAGGGGAGGAAGGGCUGUCUUUGGCGUGAGGGAAGGCGGCUCUGUGGCACUGGCAAGUUUCUCUUUCUGACCCAGGUGGUGGUUCCACAGACUUUGUUUUAUAGUAUUUAUUACACAACACUGUACUUUUCUGUGUCUGUAUUAUAUCUCACGCCACCAUCCGUCUGUGAGUUUGUUGUACUGUGGUGGCUUGCCCGUUAUUGUGACGCUGGAAGCUAUGUCACCAUAUUCCAAAUAUCAGCAGGGUCACCCAUGGUAGACAGGUUUCAGCAGAGUGUCUAGACUAAGACAGAGUAGGAAGAAAGGCCUGGCCAUCUACUUCCGAAGAUGAGCCGAGGAAAACAGAACAUUAUCUAAUUUGUUUGCUUUGGACAGGUCACAUCAUCAGGAGGGAUCAGUCACUAGAAGAUGACAUGGUGUUUGGUGAAGGAAGGCCAGCGAGGGCGGGGGAGACCCUUGUUGAGAUGCACUGGUACCAUAGAUGUAAUGAUGGUCUCAGACAUGCUGGCGAUCAUGAAGAUGACUCAAGACUGGGCAACACUUUGUUCCGUUGUACAAGGAUCGCUAUGAGCCGGAGCCGACUUGAUGGCCCUAUCUAUUUCUCUACCUUUUAUAUCUCACAAUUAGAAAAGAGAAAGCAAUGAUGAUAUAACCUAUCGGACCAGCGCCUGAACCCCUACCUGACAGGUAUUUAUAAUCCACUCAGAAAGGUUUCAUACCCCACUGCUUGGUCCAUCAGAACCUCUCACUGUCCACUCCCCGCUCUGUUUUCCUGCCUUCCACCGUUAUUCAUGCUGGACCUGCCCGUACCCUCCAGCUCUGGCCUCCUCCCCUGAGCACCUAGCUAGCUCUUUACCAGGACUAGGCAAAGAUGAAAAGCAGGGGCCGAUGGUGACAGAGGCCGGAGCUGCAGAAGAGAGGCAGGAAAAGGCAGUGGCUGUUGACUGUCCUUAAGGUGACAAAGGAAGCAGUGAGUGGCACCUGAGCCCAGAGAAGCGGGGAGGGCAAGCCAACCUGGUCAGUAACUUACCCCCAGCCAUGUUCUGGGCCAAGUCUCAUGGUCUCCAUGAGACUGAGAGUGGGGCUGUGGCCUGUUCCCUCCCUGUCCCCCCAAUGCCUAGAGCUGGUCCUCCCCUAGGAUAUCUGAGAAAUAAAUACAGCCAAGAGGCUGGAAAGGCCCAGAAGAGAAAGGGAACUGACGUUUGAUGAGGGAACUGAGGCUCAGAAAGGUUAUGUAACUUGCCCAAGGUCACACAGCAUUCAAGAGAAGGAGGCUGGACUCAAACUCAGGUCUGUCUGGUCCCAAAGCCCUUGGGAGUGACUGAGGCCUGGUGGAAGUAGGGUGAGACAGGUGCCGUGGGCUUGGAUGGCUUGCCUAUUAUGGGAGAGCAGCUGCCCAUGAGACUAUCAGUGCCUUUGGGACCUCUGAAAAAAGUGGAGUUUGUAGAGAGCUCAGGAGACCAGGAGAAGGAGAAGGAGGAGGAGGGCUGGGAGCAAGCGAGGUCCUGGGGCUCAAUCCCAGAGUGGGCUGGAGAACAGCAGAAAGUACGGGGUGACUCCAAAGGAGAGCCAGUGGGUGUUGUCAAGGUUCAGAGCAGAUCUGAGCAAAUUUCACAUUUUGAUUGGCUUUACUAGGCUGGCAGGUGGCUGAUAUUCAUUGAGCACUAAGCACAGAGCCAGCACUACGUCCUCAGGAUGUCCUGCGAGGCAGGCAUUGUCAUUGUAGCCAUUGAAUAGAUGAGGCAAUUGAGGCACAGCUACAUUAAGUGACAUGCCCAGGGCCCCAAGGUGAGCAACAGAGCUCAGAUUCAAGCCCAGGCUGAACGCUCCUGGCCUGCACCCUUAACCCCAGAUCAUACAUGGUUCAGGGACACCACACAGACACGGUGACCCUGGACCUCAGUGAGGACUCUGCCUCUGAGAUUCCCUGCGGACACAGCUCAGAGCAACAGUUGUGUCUGGUGCUGGCAGGCGGAGAGGACGUGGCUGCACCACGGCUGAUGAUGGCUGAAGUCGGGGGGGGGGGGUUUGGAGGCUGUGGAGGAAGUGGGAUUCCUGCCAUUAAACCCCUGGAAGCUCAGGGAAAGGAGAAUGGGGGAGGGGCACGCAGCGACAGAGAAACCAAGCCGGACCCCCACCCCCAGUAGGACCAGGAAAUAAAGGGGCCUGCCUGCCGCUCUGCAGGGUUCCAUGAGACCCAUGUGGGUUUUCACCUCUUAUGAAAGAGCCCAAGGAACUUCUCUUUUGUAAAACCACUUUCGGCAAUAGGGGAAAAGGUUGUUUCUCUCUGCAGUGGAGACUGUUACAAAAUAGCUUUUGGGCUGCCGGCGCCCCACAAAGCCUCUUCUCCUUAGUUUCUGGCAAAGGCAGGUUAACUAAUAAGCAAAGUAAGCACCGGCUUACUUGUGCUUACUUACUAAUCCAUAAUGAACAAUUUCAAGUGGGUUUCACAUCUUUGAUUUGAUGGAAAGCGUGUGAAACUGUUCACUACAGGUUGGUGAGUAAGCACAAGUAAGCCCGUGCUUACCUUGCUUGCUGUACCCCAUUCCCUGUCAGGGACUGUACAUUUGAGGAGGUUUUGGUUUUGUAGGAAGAUGCUGUGGGAUUGGGAGAGAGACAGAUGCCAGCCUAGAAGCAAGAUCUUUGAGGUGGUGAAAAAAAUGUGAAAUUGUUCGGGAUCACAGAUGAACGAGGAGAGCCAUUUCCCACCACCUCCAGGAGGGCCCAGGCUGGUGCGGGACGCCCACCAGGUGAGGAAGACAGAUGAGCAGAAGACAGUCCCAUUGUCGUGGGAGCAAGGGGACCGUGGUAUUGACUGUUGAUCCAUCACUAUGAUGCAUGAUCACACGUGUCACAGAUAAUCUGCUUCACGCUGUGCCCGAGAUCCUGGGGUGCGGGCUGUCUAAGCGCGAUGCCGUGGUGAUAGACGUCACAUUAGCGCUCACACUCCCAGGGAGCCCUGCGAAGGCAUCGGCCUGUGCUGCCGUGCAGCUCUUUAUGGCUUGGUGUCGGGACGAGGCAGAGGUGCCAGGCAAUGCUGGCACUGCCUUCGCUUCAGCCCCAGGUGCCAGCUCUUUGCUGCUCGCCUGCCUGCCCUGGUGCUGCCCUGCCUCAUGGACAAAGACCUCCAGGUCCCCCCACCCUGUCGUGCUCUUCAUGCUCCAGCCCUGCACUCCUGGAGCCCCCAGCCUCCUGUACACCUGGAACUCGGACUUUUGGCUGCCGAGUCUCCUGUUGGCUUCACUCAUCUUAGCAUGUCCUAUGGCUAGCACAGAGCUGCCAUGUGAUUUUCAGCCACAUCUGAGUUCAGCAGUUCCUGAAUCGGGCAUCAGACAUGAGAUGUCUUCAGAGUGGAAAGGCUUCUGCUGGAGGACAGUUCAUUUGGAAGUUAGAAACUUCCGCCCUCACUGGACCUAGAAACCCUUCUGCACCAAAGGCCAGCAACACUGAAGAGAGGGUGCCAGAAAUCUCCGCGGGACAGGCCGACUGACAAUAACCACUGUCCAUCCUUUGUGGGGAUAGAAAACAAGGAUGGAAAAUGUAAUUAAUGUCACUAAGUUGUACCCGUGAAAAUGUUAAAUCAGCAAAUGUUGUGUUAUAUAUAUUGAUACAACAAUUUUUAAAAAUUAAAAUGAAAAAUCAGCCAAGUUGAGAUCUUUGGAUUCUGCUCCUUGAUUUUUCCAGCAGGUCACAGUGGACUGGGAGGGUCCCCAGGGCCCUGGAUGCCUUAAGAUUUCACUGACCCCGGAGUCUCUUCCCCAGGACACCCCACCCCCGCUAUGGCCAAAGGAAAGGGUUUCAGGCCUUUUUCGCCUGACUUGAGCGAAAGUACCCAGAAGCGGCUUCCCUGCCUGGCUGGGAGCCCACGCCUGAGUCACCAGCGCCCUGGGCUGCACUGGCCAUAGCUUUUCCUUCCUGUCCUCCCCAGGCUGCUGGCCUUUGCGUCAGCACCUUCUGGAAGAUGAGACAUGUACAGUAGGAAGCAGUUGUCCCUGAGCUGCCCACAUGGGACUCAUGAGAUGCAGCUGACGUCGGCGUGGGCAGGCGGCCCUUUGUCACUCAGCCCAGGGCCUGGGGCCAGGCAGGGUCCUCCUCACUCCACAGCCUGCCACCUCCUCUGGCCCUACCACCCUCCGGGUGGUGGAUAAGGUGGACGCAAGGAGGGAAAGGAGGCCUGAGCUAGAUGGUUCGCUUGCACCCGUCUUCUUGGUCACCUUGCGAGGCAGGCUGUUUUUUUAUUUUUUAUUGUGCUUUAAAUGAAAGUUUACAGUUCAAGUUAGUUUCUCAUACAAAAAUUCAUACACACAUUGUUAUGUGACCGUAGUUGCUCUCCCUUUAAUGUGAGAGCACACUCCUCCUUUCUAUCCCGGAUUUCCCAUGUCCAUUCAACCAACUCCUGUCCCUUUCUGCCUUCUUAUCCUGCCUCUGGACAGCAGCUGCCCAUUUAGUCUCAUGUAUCUACUUGAGCCUUAUUCAUUGUCCAGCUGGAAUUGAUGCCUUUGAAUUGUGGUGUUGGCGAAGAAUAUUGAAUAUACCAUGGACUGCCAAAAGAACGAACAAAUCUAUCUUGGAAGGGGUACAGCCAGAGUGCUCCUUAGAGGCAAGGAUGGCGAGACUGCGUCUUCCAUACUUUGGACAUGUUGUCAGGAGGGAUCAGUCCCUGGAGAAGGACAUAAUGCUUGGCAGAGUACAGGGUCAGUGGAAAAGAGGAAGACCCUCAACGAGGUGGAUUGACACAGUGGCUGCAACAAUGGGGUGAAGCAUAACAACGAUUGUAAGGAUGGCACAGGACCAGGCAGUGUUUCGUUCUGUUGUGCACAGGGUCGCUAUGAGUCGGAACCGACUGGACGGCACCUAACAACAACAUCAUCUGCUUGAGCUAAGAAGCACUCUCUUCAUAAGUAUCAUUUCAUGUCUUAUAGUCCAGUCUAAUCUUUGAAGAGUUGGUUUCGGGAAUGGUUUUAGUUUGGGGCUAACAGAAAGGCCGGGGCCAUGUCUCCUGGGGUCCCUCCAGACUCAGUCAGACCAUUAAGUCUGGUCUUUUUACUAGAAUUUGAGCUCUGCACCCCACUUUUCUCCUGCUCUGUCAGGGACUCUCUGUUGUGUUUUCUGUCGGGGCGGUCACUGGUGGUAGCCGGGCACCAUCUAGCUCUUCUGGUCUCAGGCUGAUGGAGUCUCUGGUUUCUGUGGCCCUUUCUGUCUCUUGCGCUCCUAUUUUCAUCAUGUCUGUGGGGUUCUUCAUUCUUCUUUGCUCUGGCAGGCUCUUUUUUAUUCCCAUUUUCCAAAUGAGGAAACUGAGUUCAGAGACGGGAACUCGCUUUUCUAAGGUCACACAGCCUUCCUGGUGGGUUAACCCUUGGGGGCGUCUAUGUGCCCUGGUAGACUGUGAGCUUUCUGCAGUCCUUCCCCUUCCUGCAGUCCCGCACCUCCUCCACCUGCAGCAGCCAUCCCUAUCCCAGGUGGGGCACCUCCAUCUUUCCAGGCAUCAGGCUGCACAGGGCUCCACCUGUGUGCCUCGAAUGGGUGAAUGAGGAAUGGGAAGCAGGAGGGGAAUCUGUGUGGGAGGCCCUGUCCCUUAAUACACAGGUGAAAGGCACCUCAGGACAUUCGGAUCAAAUCGCUGCCAGUGGAAUAGGACUUAGGUUACAGACUUGUAGGAAGUGGGUGUCGGAGUCUGGGAAGGUAGAAUUCGGCCUUGGGCAGGAGAGAGCUGGCUGACAAGUGAAUUAUAAAGCCAUAGAGAAGGUGGCCUCAGAAAACCUCCCCCUUUCCCGUCAGUUCCACUGUGUUGAAGGGAUGCCCCAGGCCCCCCUGUGUUGAGCUCUGAGAACAGGUGAGAAACAAAGACCCCUCCCAGGACCUCUGCCUACCCUCCCUGGGUGUCGGCACCCGCCAUUUCACAGCCCUUUCUGCCAGGUGCGGAAGAGGGGGCCACAGGGACAAAAGGCAACAGCUGUGGUGAGGCUGCAGUGGGCCAGGUAGGAAGGGCAGGAGUGAGGAGGCCUUGGCUGCGGUGGGGACAGGUGAGUUGGGGCAGGAGGGGGUGGAGGGAGAAGAGCCAGAGUGACAUCCUGGGAGAGGAGUAAGGGGAGGAUGGAGAAGUGGGUGGGGGGAUGGGAGGACCCGGUGGAGGAGGGGCUUCCUGGGGCUUCCUUGUCCAGGGCCACCCAGGCCUGAACUCCCUGCCCUAGAGCCUCACCCCUUCUCCUCCCUCUCUCCUCUGUUGCUCUGUCAGUCCCCUCCCCUCCCAUCUGCAUGUAUUCCACCAGUGACAGGAAGCUCUCAACCUCAGCAGGCAGCCCUGCCCUGAUGGACAGUUUCCUCAGAGCUGGAGCUUUCUCCGGCUUUAACCUCAGGCCCUUCUCCCCAGACCCCCGAGCCUGUAUCUUUCCUGACACACAAGGCCUCCCUUCCUGCUGACAGGUGAAGAUAGGUGUGGAUAAACAGCCCCUUCUCCAGACAUCCCUGGUCCUGCCCAUCCCCCCAACAUGGCUUCUAGAGCCUUCCCCACGGAAGGCUCCUCCACCUAUCUCCCCUGGUGCCCAGAAAGGGCCUGACCCGGGCAGAGGCCACUGAGACUAUGGUCCCCUCUCUCCUUCUGGACAGAUGCCCCUGGAGAGUCAGUCCCCUAGCUCCUUGAGUCCCCCAUCGCCUCCAACCAGCCCCAGGUUAACCCUCUGCUGUCCAGGAAGCCUCUCUUUCCCCAGGGGUGUGCUGCUGAGCACUUCCCACACUGUGUGGCCCUUCCCUCCCCAUAGACACUGUUCCCUUCCUCCUUUCCUCUGUCCCACCCUUAUCCCAGUCCCUUUCCUCAUCAGCUGAAAUAGUCCUUUUGAUUUAGAAAAAGAAUGAGUGGGGGCCAGGAUGCACUCUGGGUGAGCAAGCUCAGCGUUUAGGCAAGGACAACACGGUCAC
This is a long non-coding RNA of Loxodonta africana (African savanna elephant), 7483 nucleotides long. RefSeq lists it as uncharacterized. The transcript has 3 exons. Lineage: Eukaryota; Metazoa; Chordata; Mammalia; Proboscidea; Elephantidae. The record is from RefSeq and is a predicted model, not a curated record.